AUUGAACGCUGGCGGCAUGCCUUACACAUGCAAGUCGAACGGCAGCACGGGAGCAAUCCUGGUGGCGAGUGGCGAACGGGUGAGUAAUAUAUCGGAACGUGCCCGGUCGUGGGGAUAACGUAGCGAAAGCUACGCUAAUACCGCAUACGAUCUACGGAUGAAAGCGGGGGAUCGCAAGACCUCGCGCGAUUGGAGCGGCCGAUAUCAGAUUAGGUAGUUGGUGAGGUAAAGGCUCACCAAGCCGACGAUCUGUAGCUGGUCUGAGAGGACGACCAGCCACACUGGGACUGAGACACGGCCCAGACUCCUACGGGAGGCAGCAGUGGGGAAUUUUGGACAAUGGGCGCAAGCCUGAUCCAGCAAUGCCGCGUGCAGGAUGAAGGCCUCGGUUGU
Molecule: ribosomal RNA, 393 nt
Filed under: uncultured bacterium
Lineage: Bacteria
Description: bacterial SSU rRNA
Rfam family: Bacterial small subunit ribosomal RNA
Source: RNAcentral